This 1344-nucleotide ribosomal RNA is filed under the name Antheraea assamensis (Indian muga silkmoth). Its description in RNAcentral is "16S ribosomal RNA". The record is from RNAcentral. Lineage: Eukaryota; Metazoa; Arthropoda; Insecta; Lepidoptera; Saturniidae.
GGGGGAAAAAAUUAAUAAAUAAAAAUAAUAAUAAAAAAAAUUUUAAAAUUAAAUAUUUUAAUGGGGGUUAAAGUAUUUUAAUAGAAAAAAUUUUUAUGUUUAUAGUUAAUUAGUAUUGUAAAAGAAUUUUGAAAUAAUUGAAAAUAAAAUUCUUAAAAAAGUAAAUUUAAUUUAUUGUAUCUUGUGUAUCAGAGUUUAUUAAAAAAUUUUUAAAUUUUUAAAUUUCUCGAAUUUAAAAGAGUUAAUUAAUUAAUAAAGUUAUUGUGGCAUAAAUAUUUUUAAUAAUUAAUUUGAAAUGAAAUGUUAAUCGUUUUUAAAUAUAUCUAGUUUUUUUAGAAAAAAAUUUAAUUUUUAAUUUAAUUAAAAAAUAAAAUAAAUAUUUAUUUUAUUUUUUAAUUAAAUUGAAUAAUUUAAGGGAUAAGCUUUAAAUUAAAAUUUUAUAAUGAUUAUUUAAAUUAAUUUAAGAAUUUUAUAAUUUAUAUUGUUAAUAAAUUUUAAUUUAUUAUAAAUAAUUUUAGAUAAAAUAAUUAAAAUUUAAUUUUAAAUUUAAAUUUUAUAAUAAAGAAAUUAUGAUAAAAUUAGUAAAUUAAAGAAAAAUAAAAAUUAAAUAUUUUAAAAAUAAGUAUUUUUAAGUAAUUCGGCAAAAAUUUAUAUUCACUUGUUUAUCAAAAACAUGUCUUUUUGAGAAUAAUUUAAAGUCUAAUCUGCCCACUGAUAUAUUAUUGAAGGGCUGCAGUAUUUUGACUGUACAAAGGUAGCAUAAUCAUUAGUCUCUUAAUUGGUGACUUGUAUGAAGGAUUGGAUGAGAUAUAAACUGUCUCAAAAAUAAUUAAUUGAAUUUAAUUUUUUAAUUAAAAAGUUAAAAUAUGUUAAAAAGACGAGAAGACCCUAUAGAGUUUUAUAUUAAAUAAUAUUUAAAUUAUUUAUAAAUUUCAUUAAUUAUAAAUUUUAUUUAAUAUUUUGUUGGGGUGAUAGAAAAAUAAAAAAAACUUUUUUUAAAAAUAGUCAUUAAUAAGUGAAUAAUUGAUCCAAUUUUAUUGAUUAUAAGAAAAAAUUACCUUAGGGAUAACAGCGUAAUUUUUUUUUUUAGUUCUUAUAAGAAGAAAAGUUUGCGACCUCGAUGUUGGAUUAAGAUAAAAUUUAAAUGCAAAAGUUUAAAAUUUUUGAUCUGUUCGAUCAUUAAAAUCUUACAUGAUCUGAGUUCAAACCGGUGUGAGCCAGGUUGGUUUCUAUCUUUUAAUAAUUUUAAUAUUUUAGUACGAAAGGAUCAAAUAUUAUAAUUAAAUUAUUUUUAUGAAUAUUAUUAAUAAAAAAUAAUAUUUUAUUGAUAUUAAUUAUAUAUAA